AAAUCGACAUGUCUAGUUCCCCCAGAGCGAGGCUCCUCCAUUGCACUGCGGCGGGGUUGACCUCUGCGAUUAUCCCUAAUGCGGAUAACUCGGACGCGUAAGUUUUGGUAGUGGGGACUGCGUACGCGCUGUCCCCC
RNAcentral lists this small nuclear RNA (137 nucleotides) under Melitaea cinxia (Glanville fritillary). Its description in RNAcentral is "misc RNA ENSMCXG00005022999.1". It matches the Rfam family "U1 spliceosomal RNA", at positions 27 to 166 of the family's 166-position model. Rfam says of the family: U1 is a small nuclear RNA (snRNA) component of the spliceosome (involved in pre-mRNA splicing). Its 5' end forms complementary base pairs with the 5' splice junction, thus defining the 5' donor site of an intron. Lineage: Eukaryota; Metazoa; Arthropoda; Insecta; Lepidoptera; Nymphalidae. The record is from RNAcentral.